AUUGAACGCUGGCGGCAUGCCUUACACAUGCAAGUCGAACGGCAGCACGGGAGCAAUCCUGGUGGCGAGUGGCGAACGGGUGAGUAAUGUAUCGGAACGUACCUUUCAGUGGGGGAUAACGUAGCGAAAGUUACGCUAAUACCGCAUAUUCUGUGAGCAGGAAAGCAGGGGAUCGCAAGACCUUGCGCUGAUUGAGCGGCCGAUAUCAGAUUAGCUAGUUGGUGAGGUAAAGGCUCACCAAGGCGACGAUCUGUAGCGGGUCUGAGAGGAUGAUCCGCCACACUGGAACUGAGACACGGUCCAGACUCCUACGGGAGGCAGCAGUGGGGAAUUUUGGACAAUGGGCGCAAGCCUGAUCCAGCCAUGCCGCGUGAGUGAAGAAGGCCUCGGUUGUAAGUAC
This 400-nucleotide ribosomal RNA is filed under the name uncultured bacterium. RNAcentral's name for it is "bacterial SSU rRNA". It matches the Rfam family "Bacterial small subunit ribosomal RNA", at positions 30 to 431 of the family's 1533-position model. The record is from RNAcentral.